GGUUUAUGGCAGCCAGCUCCUUUUUCUGAUGAAAUUGAAGUUGAUUUUAGUAAGGCCCUAUGUCAGGGUAACUAUGGAAGAAGCCAGCAAAGGAACACCUUGAAGUGAACAAAUUUCAGUUUGAUGUUUUAUAACAGAAGUCCAUCAUGGUUCUUUGUUAGUUAAUCUUGUCAAAAAUAAGAUACAUUUCUGACUUCCAGACUUCAGCGUCCACAUGAAGUGCUCCUUGCCUUGUGGAAGAGUUAAUCAAGUCUGCUCUUUAUGCUGUCCUGAUGCUCAUGAUGGAAGAGCAGGUGAAUCACAUUGUGCACAAUUGUCCAGACCUGCUGAAAUAUCUGUGUUUGCUUUAGCCCUUG
This is a long non-coding RNA of Sciurus carolinensis (gray squirrel), 356 nucleotides long. RefSeq lists it as uncharacterized. The transcript has 3 exons. NCBI's taxonomy places the organism in Eukaryota, Metazoa, Chordata, Mammalia, Rodentia, Sciuridae. The record is from RefSeq and is a predicted model, not a curated record.